UAGUGACCGAUAGCGCAUAGUACUGUGAAGGAAAGGUGAAAAGGACCCCGGGAGGGGAGUGAAAAAGAACCUGAAACCCUGUGUUUACAAGCUGUGGAACCACAUUUUAGGUGGAACCGCGUACUUUUUGUAGAACGGUCCGGCGAGUUGCCGGGACUGGCAAGGUUAAGCACUCAAGGUGUGGAGCCGAAGGGAAACCAAGUCUUAAUAGGGCGAAUAAGUCAGUUCAGGCAGACCCGAAACCGGGUGAUCUACCCAUGUCCAGGUUGAAGUUUCCGUAAAAGGAAAUGGAGGACCGAACGCACAUCCGUUGAAAAGGGUGGCGAUGAGGUGUGGGUAGGGGAGAAAUUCCAAUCGAACCCGGAGAUAGCUGGUUCUCCUCGAAAUAGCUUUAGGGCUAGCCUCGUAUUAGUUUAGCGGAGGUAGAGCACUGAAUUCUUAAGGGGGCGUCAAAGCUUACCAAGAGAUAUCAAACUCCGAAUGCCGCAUAAAUGAUGUACGGGAGUCAGACUGCACGAGAUAAGUUGGGUAGUCAAAAGGGAAAGAGCCCAGACCUACAGCUAAGGUCCCAAAGUGUGUGUUAAGUGGAAAAGGAUGUGGGAUUUCAAAGACAACUAGGAUGUUGGCUCAGAAGCAGCCACACAUUCAAAGAGUGCGUAAUAGCUCACUAGUCGAGAGGUCCUGCGCCGAAAAUGUCCGGGGCUGAAACACAACACCGAAGCUUAGGAAUUGACGUAAGUCAAUUGGUAGAGGAGCAUUCUUAACUGCGAAGAAGCGUUACCGUAAGGAGGCGUGGAGUGUUAAGAAGAGAGAAUGCCGGAAUGAGUAGCGAGAUGGAGGUGGGAAUCCUCCAGGCCGAAUAUCUAAGGUUUCCAGAGUAAAGCUGAUCUGCUCUGGGUAAGUCGGGGCCUAAGGCGAGGUCGAAAGACGUAGUCGAUGGACAACAGGUUGAAAUUCCUGUACCGCGUAUUAUCAGAACUGUGGGGACACAGAACCGAAGCCAAACCCGGGAAUGAAAAGACCGGGGCAAGCGCCGGACUGGUUAGACUGGAAAAUCCGUCUAGCAACAGGAAAGCGUGAUGCGUACCGAACAAAAGUAGGGAAGUUGGUAUAGGGGCUGUCAAGAAAAGCCGCUAUUGUGUAAUACGUGCCCGUACCGUAAACCGACACAGGUGGAUGAGGAGAGAAUCCUAAGGCCGGCGGGAGAAGCAUUGUUAAGGAACUCGGCAAAAUGACCCCGUAACUUCGGGAGAAGGGGUGCUCCAGAGAUGGAGCCGCAGAGAACUGGCCCAAGCAACUGUUUAGCAAAAACACAGGUCUAUGCAAAACCGAAAGGUGAGGUAUAUGGGCUGACGCCUGCCCGGUGCUGGAAGGUUAAGGGGAGAGGUUAGUCGUAAGGCGAAGCUUUGAACUUAAGCCCCAGUAAACGGCGGCCGUAACUAUAACGGUCCUAAGGUAGCGAAAUUCCUUGUCGGGUAAGUUCCGACCCGCACGAAA
RNAcentral lists this ribosomal RNA (1497 nucleotides) under human gut metagenome. RNAcentral's name for it is "bacterial LSU rRNA". It matches the Rfam family "Bacterial large subunit ribosomal RNA", at positions 478 to 1997 of the family's 2925-position model. The record is from RNAcentral.